UAGUAGGACGUUGUUUUCAGGAAAUGUUUAUGUAGAAGGUGCCAGGGGCCACGGCAGCAAAAUAAAAGAAAAGAAAAUAUUCAUCUUGUCGAUUUUAAUAGUGGCCAAACUGGUGAAAAUCCUAAUUUUGGUCAACAUGAUUUUCUUCGUGAUGCUGUUUAUUAAAAAGAUCAUCUUGGUGACGGCGAUAGUUUUUCCGUCGGUGCUGAGCCAUAUUAAACAGGCCUGUCAGCAACACCAUCAGCAUCAUACACCAAUUAUUGCCGAAGAAGGUCCGGCACAUUCUAGUUCAUGGUUUGGGUGGAGACAAGACACACCAGAAAAAUCUUGGCUUCCGACAGAUCGACACUCUUAUUGGCCUUAUUGGUCAUAAAUUUUAUAAACUAUUAUUAACUGUUAAAUAAAGUCUUACAACAAAAA
Molecule: long non-coding RNA, 420 nt
Organism: Anthonomus grandis grandis
Lineage: Eukaryota; Metazoa; Arthropoda; Insecta; Coleoptera; Curculionidae
Exons: 2
Source: RefSeq, a predicted model, not a curated record